Molecule: ribosomal RNA, 629 nt
Filed under: Leifsonia sp. So2Pt_47
Lineage: Bacteria; Bacillati; Actinomycetota; Actinomycetes; Micrococcales; Microbacteriaceae
Description: bacterial SSU rRNA
Rfam family: Bacterial small subunit ribosomal RNA
Source: RNAcentral
UGCAGCAACGCCGCGUGAGGGAUGACGGCCUUCGGGUUGUAAACCUCUUUUAGUAGGGAAGAAGGGAGCUUGCUCUUGACGGUACCUGCAGAAAAAGCACCGGCUAACUACGUGCCAGCAGCCGCGGUAAUACGUAGGGUGCAAGCGUUGUCCGGAAUUAUUGGGCGUAAAGAGCUCGUAGGCGGUUUGUCGCGUCUGCUGUGAAAACCCGAGGCUCAACCUCGGGCCUGCAGUGGGUACGGGCAGACUAGAGUGCGGUAGGGGAGAAUGGAAUUCCUGGUGUAGCGGUGGAAUGCGCAGAUAUCAGGAGGAACACCGAUGGCGAAGGCAGUUCUCUGGGCCGUAACUGACGCUGAGGAGCGAAAGCGUGGGGAGCGAACAGGAUUAGAUACCCUGGUAGUCCACGCCGUAAACGUUGGGCGCUAGAUGUGGGGACCUUUCCACGGUUUCCGUGUCGCAGCUAACGCAUUAAGCGCCCCGCCUGGGGAGUACGGCCGCAAGGCUAAAACUCAAAGGAAUUGACGGGGGCCCGCACAAGCGGCGGAGCAUGCGGAUUAAUUCGAUGCAACGCGAAGAACCUUACCAAGGCUUGACAUAUACGAGAACGGGCCAGAAAUGGUCAACUCUUU